AUACACUGAGGACUCCAAAGGCCACUCAGGAUGACAGGAAAUGCAGGCUCCAAAAGAUUUGGUUCCUUUGUGAGGCCCUCGGGCAGUGGUCAGACACGAAGGAAAUAGGAAAUCACCCCCAAACCACACCUCUCCCUACGAGGCCACAGCUGCCGAUGCAGCCUUGGGAGGGGGAUGGAGGGAGAGAGGAGGGCAUCUGAAUGUGGACACACCCUGCUGUGAGGGCUGUGGGCGGUCCUCAGACUGGAACCAGCCCCCAGGCUCAGCUCAGCUCAGGGACCUCGUGCCCGGGCUUUCCUGGGGAGGAAGGUGUUGGAUCUCCUGCCUCUCUGUAUUCAUUCACACUUUGGGUUUCUCUCUCUUCCGCGCAUUCUAACAUCUGCAGGACUUUUUUUUUUUUUUUUGAGACAGAGUCUCGCUCUGUCGCCCAGGCUGGAGUGGAGUGGCGCGAUCUCAGCUCGCUGCAAGCUCCGCCUCCUGGGUUCACGCCAUUCUCGUGCCUCAGCCUCCAGAGUAACAGGGACCACAGGCGCCCGCCACCACGCCCAGGCCCUGGUGUGUGAUGUUGCCCGCACUGUGUCCAAGUGUUCUCAUUGUUCAAUUCCCACCUGUGCCAACUCCUGAGAUCUUAUCGGGAAGUGGCUCAUCACCAGCUUUAGGUGUUUUCUAUCUAUUGGGAGCCUGCCUUUCUCUGGCACCAGCUGCAACCAAUAAUUAUUUUAGACAGUUUAACAACCGCUUGGCCAUCACCUGAUGAUCGCCUGACAUUUCUGUUGGGGCGCGGGCCCAUCUCCUGCCCUGCUCAUGUGGGGCUCAGUCUGCCCAACCUUUCCCCAAGGGCCUGUCUUUACUUCAUUUGUGGUAAGACCCAAGCAGAAUGGACUCUUGUUAUGAUCCCAGGAACUGCUCACGGCCACCUCUGUGGAUGAACACCUAGCGGCUGCUCUAAAUACAUGCUGUGAAAGUUGUCAGAAUCAAAAUGGAGUCACUAAUGUUAAGAAAGCCCUGACAAAGAGUGGUGGGGAAGGCCAUGAAGAGAGGACACUUAUGCUUGCGUGCCUGAUACCAGAAAGGACUACAAAAACCACAACCCGGCACAGAGGCCAUCACACCCUUACACAAAAAAUAUUUCUGCAGGGACAACUGCCCAGCAAUUGCCUGUCCAACCUCAGACUGGAAUGACCUUUGUUAUUGAUGUUUGUAGCCAAGGAGAAUUAUCUCAAAACCAUUGUGAUCCUGCUCAUUUUUCCUUUAAAGACCUUUGUCUUCCUUGACCUCCCUGAAUAGGCAUAUGGUUUACUAUGGCGUGUGUACUCUCCUUGUAAUGUUCUGUUCUCAAGCUAGUAUCUGUUCUUCUAGAGAACCUCUCUCUUAGGCUGACAACGCUGUGGAUCUGGGCUCCCAGGAACUGGGGCUGACAUCAGAGGGGUGGAAAGAGAACAGCAGCUCUCCCUGAGGGGAUGCUUGCCAAGGAUAAGGAGAUGAUGGUUCUCUAAGGAUUAUUUUAUAUUCAUCUAAAAGGGUAUUUUUGUUGUUACCCCUAGCCUUUUUUCCCUUUUAAUUUUCUGAUGAAUAAUUUAUAUAAAGAAAACCCAUUCUAAGUGUGCAA
Long non-coding RNA from Pan troglodytes (chimpanzee), 1609 nucleotides. RefSeq lists it as uncharacterized. The transcript is spliced from 2 exons. The record is from RefSeq and is a predicted model, not a curated record. NCBI's taxonomy places the organism in Eukaryota, Metazoa, Chordata, Mammalia, Primates, Hominidae.